Equus quagga is the source of this 1378-nucleotide long non-coding RNA. RefSeq lists it as uncharacterized. The record is from RefSeq and is a predicted model, not a curated record. Lineage: Eukaryota; Metazoa; Chordata; Mammalia; Perissodactyla; Equidae. The transcript is spliced from 3 exons.
GAGGGGGAGGCAGUGAUGGGGAGAAAGAAGGGGCCUGGGCUGAGGGGAGGGCCCAGCCUGGGCCAUGAGGGCCUCCCUGAGCUGAGCCUUCUGUGGCUGCUCCUGAGGGCCCUGGGCACUGGCAGGCCAUGGCCACAUGUGUCGACAGGCAGAAGGGUCUAGAAGAGCUGCCAGGGAGGGGUCAAGUGGAUUCGGUGGGGUCCCUGGGAGAGUAAUACCUGAGUCCCCACCGCCAGCCCCUGCCUAGGGGAGCUGUGGGGUCCCCUGGGCUGGGACUUCCUGCAAGGUCUUCCGGCCUCGCUCUGAGUCAGGAGCCAGCAGGAAGCGGUCCUGAGGGUUUGCCCACUGGGCCUCACGGCCUGCCCUGAGGAACUGGACGAUGGGCCUCUCCCUCUGCAGGCUCAGGAGGGCCGUCUCGGGCAGUGCUGUGGGAGCUCAGACAAGAAGCACCGCUCCUAGUUUUCUUCAAGGCCAACCCCGACCUGGAGAACCACCUUCUCGUCUCCUUGGCAACUCCCCCUCACGCCUCAGAACCACGGCAGCUCAGGGCCUGGGCGAGGCCGCCAUGUGGGGCGGCUGGAAAAGCCGGUUCUCUGGGGCCGCCUGCCCCUGGCCAGCCUGUGCUAACAGGCGAAGACAGAGGCGGGAAACAAAUGGCCUGUCAAGAUUCCUAAUUAAGGUACCGCGUAAGUGAUGGCUCUCUGCUCGGACCAAGGAGAACCAGCCAACACCAGCUGCUGCAGGACCAGCCCAUUUGCUCUGGCCAGAGGAGGAGAUUCGCAGCACUGAGUUCAGUGUCCUGCUAGGAAACAGGAGCUUUUCAACCACAAAGGAAGGAGAGAGAAGCCCCACCAGAGGCAGGAUGAGACCCUGGCUCCCACUUUCUCCCCCUCUAGGGGUGCCCCCUCUGCCCUGGGGACCAGGGUCCCGCCCAGCCCAGCUCAGCCCAGCCCCAGCUGGGAGAGGGGUCAGUGUGGCCACCCUGGGCCCCCGAAACAAUUCUGGGGACUUAUGGCUUUGUCUUGCAUUUUCUGUUCUUUAUAUAAAUCACGUUUUAAUGAAAUAAAGUAUCAUAAAAGCUGCUCAUUACAGAAAAUAUGAACAUACAAAAAGAAGUUUCCAUUUGGGGGAGAAAUGGAGAAGAGAGUACAGAAGUGGAGGACAGGGGUGGAAGGCCAUGGAAUGUUCUGUUUGUCUUCCAGGACACAUCCCGCUGGCUGACAGGUGGGUUGAGUGUACCAGGGCCUGCCCUGGGGGCUCUCCAUGGGGCCCAGGGACAGCGCAUGGACAUCAGGGAGGGGCAGAUGGGUGCUCAGACCCCUGGCCUUCCCCCCCCCCCCCCCCCGGGCUCUCUGGCACACCCCGCCCUGCUGGCCCC